This 2480-nucleotide long non-coding RNA is filed under the name Homo sapiens (human). Its description in RNAcentral is "HSALNT0186523". Lineage: Eukaryota; Metazoa; Chordata; Mammalia; Primates; Hominidae. The record is from RNAcentral.
GAAACAUGGCACCAACAUCUGCAUCUGGUGUGGACCUCAGGCUACUUCCAUUCAUGGCGGAAGGUGAAAGGGAGCUGGUGUUGCGGAGAUCACAUAGAAAGAGAGGAGGAAAGAGAGAGAGGGAUAAGAAGAUCAAACUCUCCCAAAAAGUAGAGAUUAAACAACAACUAAAGAUGGCGAAUCAUAGAAGUUACCACCAUUCCUGGUAUUGGUCCCAGUUCUUCUAAGAAUAUUUUUGAUGCAAGAGCUGUUUUAUCUUGAAUCCUACAUAGCUUAUUUUCCAUUUUUCCAUUCAAAUAAAACAACAAGAGAACAAUAGAGUGAAGAAAAAGGAUGUUUAAGCCUAAAUCCAAGACUGAGGUACAAGACCAAGAAAAGUGGGGCAGAAGAUGGAAAAGAACAAGUGAAGAAUCUUGGAAACAAUUCAAAGGCCAACCCUGCUUAUUCCUGUAAACCAACCAGUGAUCUCUGGCUGCUGCUUAGAAGAAACAAGAGGGAUGGCUAAUUAAACAGGUUGAAGUAAAGGAGCCAGCCCAAACCCACCAAAACCAAAAUGGUGACGAGAGUGACAUCUGGUCGUCCUCACUGCUACACUCCCACCAGCACCACGACAGUUUACAAAUUCUAUGACAAUGUCAGGAAGUUACCCUAUGUGGUCUAAAAAGAGGAGGCAUGAAUAAUCCACCCCUUGUUUAGCAUAUCAUCAAGAAAUAACCAUAAAAAUAGGCAAUCUGCAGCCCCCAGGCUGCUCUGUCUAUGGAGUAGCUGUUCUUUUUUUCUUUUACUUUCUUAAUAAACUUCCUUUCACUUUGCACUGCAGACUCGCCCUGAAUUCUUUCUUGCAUGAGAUCCAAGAACCCUCUCUUGGGGUCUGAAUUCAGACCCUUGUCAUGUAACAACCAGAGCACCCCCGGGUUUAUAUUUAGUGAUCCUUUCAUUCCCUCAUACAAAUGCUCAUUAUGUAACAAGUCAGAAACAGCUUUUCUAGUCUUUUAUAUGUGGUAUAAUCAUUAUGACUUAAAUACACAAUGUGGGUGUCAUAAGGCAGAAUUUUGUAGGUGUUUUAACAGAUACAUAAAAGGGAGAAGUAAAUUUGGACUAGGAAAAUCCAGAUAAGCUCCAUGAAGAAGACUGCUGGAGAGUUAAGCUUUGAAGGAUGAGUGAGGGUGUAAGAAGCAGACAUAGGAGACAGGACAUUCCAGGUAUUGGAGGGUCCCAAUGCCAUGUGAAGUAUGGGAAAGGGACUAUUAAAUGUGUUGGAUACUUCAAAAUAAUGUUACAUCUUCAUAGCUAUGUUAUAUUCUCUUGACGUGUGUUGCAAGUUGCUGGAAUAUUUUACUGACACCCUGUAGCUAAGAUUUUUUUCCAGACUCAAAGAUAACUAGUGGGCUGGCCAGUGGUCUAGGAAAUAAUCAGGCAGGUGAUUUCAGCAUAAUGAGUUAAGUGGAUACAGCCCCUGGCUGAGGGCUAUUCUUAUGUGACACUGGCAGAGUUUCAGAACUACUUAGGUGGGCUUAAGCAUUUAUUUAUUAUCUUUUAUGUUCUAGGCACUAUUGUAGGCAGUGGAAAUGUGGCAAUAGACAAGCUGUGGCUCUGCUUUCCUGGCGGUAACAUUCCAAUACAUAAGAGGGACACUAAAAAGGUAAAUAAAAAAUACACUGAUUUUAGCUGAUCUCAUUUCACAGAGGUCAGCGCACUCUCCCCUCUCUGAGAGUGUUACUAUGCUUAAUAAACUUUUGCUGCUUUGCUGAAAAAAAAAAGUGAAUACAUUGAUUUCAAGGUAACUCACGUUGUUUCAUGAUAUAUAAAAAAUAAAAACAGGUUGUUGUGAUAAGGGAAGUGAUGGAUGGAAAUGCCCCUCCAGGGAACAACUUUUUAGUAAGAUCUAAAUAAUAGGAAGACACGUGAAAAGAAGCCAGUAGGCAGAAAUCAUGAGGAAGCAAAACUAGGCAAUCAGAAACAGAAGAGAGGUAAAAACAGGUGGAGAGAAGACACAGAGAACUCAACUAACCAGAAGGGCUGUUGGGUUUCCAGAACUAUUGCUUGAAUUUUGACUUCUAGGGUCCCUGUUGGCUCCUGAAUAGAUGCAUAAGUAGAUGCAUAUGCUCCAUUUUCCAUCUUUAUUCUGUUAUAAUAUAUUCCUAUCUAUCUAACAUCUAAUGAUCUAUUGAUCUAACUGUCCAUCCAUCCAAUCAUUUUCAUAUUGUGGGACAGUUAGGUUGCUGCCAGUUUUUAGCAACACAAGGAGCAAGACAGCAGUGAACAUUCUUGUACACACUUUAUCAAGUACAUGGUAUGGGAUUUUUGCAUGUACCUGGAAUUGAAACUGCUGGGUGGUAAAGGAUGUCUACCUUUAACUUGAUAAAAACCUGCAAAAUUGUUUUCCAAAGUUUUUACAAAUAAAUUUACUUCUCCACAAGAAAUGUACACUUGGCAUUAUCAGACUUCAAAAUUUUUUCCAAUCUAAUGGUGUGAAAUGG